RNAcentral lists this long non-coding RNA (5480 nucleotides) under Populus tremula. Its description in RNAcentral is "long non-coding RNA (PTRE_LNC002861)". The record is from RNAcentral. Lineage: Eukaryota; Viridiplantae; Streptophyta; Magnoliopsida; Malpighiales; Salicaceae.
CUCCAGCGAUGUGUGGGGACUUGUCUUCUAUUGCCGUCACAGGUUCGAUUCUCUAUGCGUACACUGUCAUCCCACGAUGUCUUACAUGCUUACUGGGCUUGCAGGGUGUUCAGUGACCCGUGGAGACUAGUUGCAGUGCGCGCAAGCUGGCCCGGACACCUCACGCUAAUCAAAAAAAAAAGAAAAAGUGAGACUUUAAAAUAUAUAAAAAAGGAUUACAAAACAAAAAUUUAUAUAGGUGAGCUCAGAAAAACUGAAUUCGCAUUCCCAUACUGAUGCGAAAACUUGCUACAAGCAGCCAUCGCUAGCUCUGACGCAAUGCAAAACACCCCUAUAUAUAAAUACCAUAGCAUUUUAUCUUGCAAUACUGCUUUGUUAGUUGGCAAACAGAAAAGUCUAACUGUCCGUUGUGUGGCCUCGUUUAAACCAAUACCAGAUCAGUUAUGGCCACUUACUGUGUCCAUCUUCGUCUUCUUUUCUUGCUUCUCACCCUUUCAGGUUAGUUCUUUCAUGUUUCGACUGCCUUUUGCAUGCAUUGUUCUGUUUGUUUGUUUUCCAGUAAAGUGCGAGGAAAGAAAAUAGAAGCUUAAGUUGUAGGGGUUGCCUUUUUUAUUGUUGUAUACUGUAUAUUCAAGCUUGGAAACCAAGGUCUGCUAAAUUACCACCAAUACUGGGUUUCCUUUUAUGAGUUUGGAACUGGGAUUUUAAUCUAACUGAAGCUUGAUGAUUCUGGUUCUUGUUCCUUUAUUCUUUGGUGUUCCUAUCAUGGUUUAGUUUGUUCAACUUGAAACUCUGUUUUUCGGAUUCAGGUGUCCAAGUCCUAGGUGCUGGCUUUGGAAUUAACUAUGGGCAGAUUGCCGACAACCUCCCAUCUCCCUCUAGUGUUUCCGUGAUGCUUCAACCCCUCGACGUCAGCAGGUUAAAACUCUAUGAUGCCAAUCCGAAAGUCCUGCAGGCCUUCUCUAAUUCAAGUGUUGAAUUCAUUGUUGGGAUUGGGAACGGGUACCUCCAAGACAUGGCUGAUCCUGUCAAGGCUCAAAACUGGGUUCAACAGAAUAUUCAACCCUACCUAGCUCAAACCAAAAUCACUUGCAUCUCUGUCGGGAACGAGGUGUUCAUGACCAAUGAUACUCAGAUGUGGUCAAAUCUCCUUCCGGCAAUGAAGACGGUGUAUAACACUCUUGUUAAUCUUGGAUUAGAUAAACAAGUGAUUGUCACCACUGCACAUCCCUUUACCAUCAUAGGAAAUUCCUACCCUCCUUCAUCGGGGACUUUCCGGCAAGAUAUUAUCGAAUACAUGCAAGCAAUCUUGGAUUUUCAUUCUCAAACCAAGUCACCAUUCCUUAUCAACGCCUAUCCCUUUUUCGCAUACAAGGAUAACCCAGACCAAAUAUCUCUAGAUUAUGUCCUCUUCCAGCCGAACCAGGGGAUGACAGAUCCGAACACAAAUCUGCAUUAUGAUAACAUGCUGUACGCUCAAGUAGAUGCAGUGUAUUCAGCAAUCAAAGCAAUCGGACAUACAGAUGUUGAAGUCAAGAUCUCAGAGACAGGUUGGCCAUCCAAGGGGGAUCCUACCGAGGUUGGAUCAACACUACAAAACGCAGAGCUAUAUCAUAAUAAUCUGUUGAAUAGAAUUCAGCUGAAGCAAGGCACACCAGCAAAACCAUCCGUGCCCAUUGACAUAUAUGUUUUUGCACUUUUUAACGAGAAUUUGAAGUCUGGUCCGACAUCUGAAAGGAACUACGGGCUCUUUUAUCCCAACGGUACUGCAGUUUUUAACAUCAAAUUGCAGGGCAAUCUUCCUGGAAUAAUUUAUUCCUCGGCAUCUAAUAUAAAUGUAACUCAUAUUUUCUCUCAUCAUCACCAUGUUUUGGUUUUAAAUAUAAUUAACAACGAAUCUAAUCUCCUAUAUUGCAUUUCGAAUGAUCCUGCAGGCAUUGUCUACCUUCAGCUUGGUGAUAUCUGUCUUAGCAUACUUGAUCCAUGCUUAGGUUACCCGAAUUCCGGUGAAUGACGGAGAGAUAAACAACCAAAGUCUGACACCACAAAUCGCAUAGCCGCAGGAAGAUUUUUUAUAGGUGAGAUACUGAGUUCAUUUUAAUUGAAACAGUGACCAUCUCAAGUUCCGAAUUCUUCAAUCCAGAAAUUGAAUUCACCUAAACUUGGCCUGCUCAUUACCUAACCCGGUUAGGUUCAGAUCAAAUUGGUUGACUUUUGAUACUGUUUGAUGUUCAUGUAUAUAUAUAUAUAUAUGGUUUUGCUUAGAAUAGUCUGCAAAUCACAUGGUUGGGAUUUCUGAAUCCAUCUUAGCAACUUUUUUUCCCCUUAGGAUCUGUAAGGCAGAACCCAUCUGAUGUUGCCUACUUAGUGCAUGCACCAAGUGGGGAUGCUUUGACAUGUAGUGCCUGCUGUUUUGAAAUCUACUUUUGAUGUUGAAUACAUAUAUAUAUAUAUAUAUUGAGCCAUCAUCCUCCUCUCUAAUAAUGCAUGCGAAUCUUUCCUUGUCUUGCUUUCUUCAACUAGACAAAAGUCCAAACUUGCUUCUAUCAGGAAAAGAACCUGCUAGGGCCGGGCGGCUUUCGGCAGCAGUUUUUCAAUAUCUUCUUCUUUGUUUAUUUUUUUCUGAAUUCUCCAAAAUGGAUACCUCACCAUUUUUGUCUUGACUUUGAGCUCUCUAUCAAAGACGGCUACCUCUUUGUCUACACCUUUAUUAUCUCUUUCGUAAAGGAGAAUUUAUCGCAUCAGCCAUAGUUGUAUCGUUCUCCCAUGUCUAUUUCAAGUGAACAUCAGUAGGCUUAACAUUGCUGUCUUGUUAGCUUUUUGAUAUUUCAUGAAUACCGAAGGACGGUCCGGUCCAAAGUUUUUCUAGCAUCGUAGCUGUAGUAGUUUCCAACACGUCUAGGCAUUCAAGAAUUCAAGUCCAAGUUACUUCCCCCGCUCAAUACUUUUAUUUUGGAAAAGCUAAGAACAAACGACUCUUUUUCGAGUGCAAGAUUAACAUUUAACCCUUUUGUUGAGUGAAAAUUAUGAUUCAUAUUCAACAUGUGUAACAUCAAUCGAUACUUGAGCAUAAAGUAGUAGGCAGGUGGCUAUCAACAUCACGGACAACCUGCUUUCACACAGAUACUUCUCGUUGCAUCAGAAAUGGCCCCAACAAGGAUAAGAUUUACACACAGGCGAUUCCACUUGGCCAUUCGAUAGUGACUAGCUAGCUACUGCCAUGAUAUUUGAUUCUCAGUCGCUGCAUAAUCAAAUUAAUAUUUAAUGAGCUGCCUUUACAAAACCUAAAAGAGUUGCUUCAUCAAUCUCUCUAUGGUCCCAGUUGCUUUGUAAGAUAUUCUUGUUUGGCUCUUAGAGACCAUGUAAUGUUGAAAUGUUAAGGAAAAACAUAGACCAAGUUGUGCUAGCAGUUGGCUUGCACAAGCUGUGACAUCCACAUCAUGUCACCUCGCCGGCCUUUUUGUGUGCUGGGGAGCUGCUACCGAUUAAUUAUGAUGUUCACAGCAUUUAACUAUAAGCUGCUACCAAUUCAUUAUGAUGUUCACAGCUUUUAACUAUAAUCAAACUUCUGGUGUUUUGUGAUCUAUUGCUCAACCACAUGACUAAUAUACACUGCCACAGUAUCUUUAUGCAGGGAGAGAGAAUGGCAGCAAGGGUCUUGUUCCUAUCACAAACACAUGACUAAAGCUGUCUCAGUAGUCUAGCAAAGCAUCUAUACAUGCUUCAUUGUGUACUAUUAUUGAAAAAAUGACAUUAAUCACUAACACGUCAGGAUGCUGUAUAUCCUGGAUUGGUAGUUCUUCUAUAGGUUUAGAUUAUAGAUAUAUCGGGGGCAAUAAGGUGAAUAUGUGCUAGGCAGAGUUCUUCCUUCUCAAAAAUAGAAAAGAAAAAAGGAAGCUAGGUUGAAUUGUUAAAUUCCAAUUCUUGUUCAAAUUUCUGAUAAGGAAGAACACGGUGAAGAUUUACAAGGCGUCAACCAGUCUUGUUUCUGUAUUUUGGGUGCCACAAAUUAAUUAUGAAUAAUAUUCUUGUAUCUAUCCUAGUUGAUGAGCCAACCCAUUAAUUAAUCUGUAUGAUAUAUCAAAUUGUUUUUACUAAAUCGAUCAUGUUUUGAAUUAAAAGAGAUAAUUUUAUUUUAAAAAAUCAAUAAUAUUGUUCUAGAUAAAAAAAAAAUUGAAUCUACCUUUCAAAUUCUUAACACAAGACUCGGUUAUAUAUAUUCUCUGAUGGAAUUUCAGCUUAUAUAAGGAGGGGGGCUAAGAAAACUUUUUAAGAAACACAGUGAAAGAAAUGCGACAAGUUUGAACUAGCUAAAAUCAGCAAGGUUAAAUGAUCUUUUUUGAAAGUUAAGAGUGGAAAUUACCCCUUCUUCUCCAUGCAAGUCUGCCCUUGCAUGUUUGUGUAUACAUAUAUUUCAAACAAAAAAUAUAUAUAAUUUAAUUCAUGGAAACCUAGAAUUUUCAAGAGCCAAUCAAUUUUUUUUAUAAAUUAAUUUAGUAAAUUGAAUUUUUUUUAAUGGUAGUAGCUUCCUUGGGUAGCUAUGGACCAGAAGGUGAUUUUUAGAGUAGCUAUAUCCCAUAUCUUUCGAUGCGGGAUUUUGUUGGGUAUAAAGAAACACGAGUCACGAGACUUCUAGACAAAUCAUGCCCUGCCUUUAAGACUUAAAAACAAAAAAUAUUAUUUUUUAAUGAUAUUUAUGUUAUAUAAAAAAAGAAAAUUAUGAAGGAUCAAAUUAUGUUCUUACUUUUACUUUCAAAUGUUCAUAUGGCAAAGCAACAAUCUCAAUGUGCUUUCAAUUCAUUCUUCUCUAAAUAAGCAAGCACUCUUGGUUAACAUUGAUUGAUAUAUACAUAUUUGGAUUUGAUUUGGAUUUAUACUAUGUAUUAUUUAGAGUCAUGAAACCAUAUAUAUUUUAACUCUCGUCUCUUAAUCCUAACACAAAUAUGUGCUCUGUACUUCUUUUUUUGGAUUAGCACUACGUACCUGGACUAAUCAUGGAAACGCACAAGUUCUUAGCAAAGAAUUUCUUGCAGGGACAUUACGGUUAAUUCAUGAACUUUAUCUAAAUCCGAUGAAUCCAUGGAAUUAUUUGUACCUAGCAAGAGUAGAACCUGAAAUCUUAAACAUGAACACAGUACCAAUUCCGAGCUCUUCUCCACGAGGCCAAUUUACACACACACACGUGCAUCCCUGUCCCUUGGCUACUAGGUAUCAGGCCAACGCCCAACUAAAAUAUAUUGUAUCCAAGACAGCUUUGCGAUGACCUCAUAAAAUAAUUACCAUGCUAUAAUUUAUUUGCAUGUAAUAAAAUAUAUAUAAAAAAGGUAAAUAUACUUACAUUGAGUUAUCAGUCAUCAUGGUCUUCUAAUCCUUCGCCCACAAUUGGUCAACCCGUCUAAUGAUCCUGUUCCUUAUAGCUAGAGUUUCCGGUAGCUCUAUCCUCUUGAAUUAACCAUUUAGAACUAGAUUCUUUUUUUUUG